Molecule: ribosomal RNA, 477 nt
Filed under: uncultured organism
Description: partial 16S ribosomal RNA
Rfam family: Bacterial small subunit ribosomal RNA
Source: RNAcentral
ACACUCCUGCGGGAGGCAGCAGUGGGGAAUUUUGGACAAUGGGCGAAAGCCUGAUCCAGCAAUGCCGCGUGUGUGAAGAAGGCCUUCGGGUUGUAAAGCACUUUUGUCCGGAAAGAAAUCCUUGGCUCUAAUACAGUCGGGGGAUGACGGUACCGGAAGAAUAAGCACCGGCUAACUACGUGCCAGCAGCCGCGGUAAUACGUAGGGUGCGAGCGUUAAUCGGAAUUACUGGGCGUAAAGCGUGCGCAGGCGGUUUGCUAAGACCGAUGUGAAAUCCCCGGGCUCAACCUGGGAACUGCAUUGGUGACUGGCAGGCUAGAGUAUGGCAGAGGGGGGUAGAAUUCCACGUGUAGCAGUGAAAUGCGUAGAGAUGUGGAGGAAUACCGAUGGCGAAGGCAGCCCCCUGGGCCAAUACUGACGCUCAUGCACGAAAGCGUGGGGAGCAAACAGGAUUAGAAACCCUGGUAGUCCCAUGAU